RNAcentral lists this ribosomal RNA (446 nucleotides) under uncultured bacterium. RNAcentral's name for it is "partial 16S ribosomal RNA". It matches the Rfam family "Bacterial small subunit ribosomal RNA", at positions 28 to 507 of the family's 1533-position model. The record is from RNAcentral.
GACGAACGCUGGCGGCAUGCCUAACACAUGCAAGUCGGACGGGAAAUUCGGGUAACGGUGUUUCCAGUUGCGGACGGGUGAGUAACGUGCACGUACCUGCCCUUGAGAGGGCCACAACAGCUGGUAAUGCCUGCUAAUAUCUUGUAGGCUGAGGAUUAUAAGGAGGAAUUCGCCCGAGGAGGGGUUCGCGUGUGAUUAGCUAGUUGGGGAGGCAAUAACUUACUACGGCGAUGAUCAGUAGCUGGUACGAGAGGCUGUGCAGCCACACAGUGGCUGUGACACAGCCCAGACACCUACGGGGGACGGCGGAGGGGAAAAUACCGGAAAAUGGGAGAGAGUGACGUAGCGAUACCGCGUGGAAGUAAAGGACCCACGAGUGUUGAACAGCUUUUCCCGGAGAAAAGACAAUGACGGUAUCUGGAGAAUAAGCUUCGGCUAACUCUGUG